CCUGACUCUCCUUGAGCUAGCGGGAGACCGAGGUCCUCUGGGUGCCGCUUUGGGGUGUCGGGGGCCCAGAGCUGCACUGGUAACCAGGCAACGCGGGUAAGUUUUCAGCUGGUUUGAUUACCCAGAAAAAACAAGCCCCCUCCGGUCCCACCUCUCCCAUCUUGGCAGGGAACAUCUGCUGUUGCCAGGCAACAGCCGCUGCGCCUCGCUGGGGGCAGGAGCCGGCCCUGCUCCAUGGCCGGAUGCUGCCUCGCACUUGCCUCCCUGCCCUGGAGUCGCUGGCCCGAGACCGAGAUGCUGCGUCGCUGGACCUGAGCCAGGAGCAGAGGCCACGGGCCCUUCCUCCCCACUGCGUGAGCCCAACAACGCUCACAGCUCAGCCUCCUCAGAGGCCCCGGGAAACCGCUCUGACCUCUCAGACCGCUUUGGCCUUCCCUUCCCACGUGGUGCUGCGGCUCACUGACAGGAAGUGGCCUUGGAGGACGGAGAGUCAUGGGUCAGAGAGGCCAUGGUGAGCACCAGCGGCACCCAGCCAUCUUUACCAACAGCCCUUCUUUGCUUUAGCACUAGACCUUUGUAUGUGUGUGCACGUGUGAACAUGGGUGUGUGUGCAUGUGGACGUGGGUGUGUGCGUGUGAACAUGGGUGUGUGUGAACACGGGUGUGUGCACGUGUGAACAUGGGUGUGUGUGAACAUGGG
Molecule: long non-coding RNA, 699 nt
Filed under: Marmota monax (woodchuck)
Lineage: Eukaryota; Metazoa; Chordata; Mammalia; Rodentia; Sciuridae
Source: RNAcentral